CAGCAGCCGCGGGAAUACGAAGGGUGCAAGCGUUACUCGGAAUUACUGGGCGUAAAGCGUGCGUAGGUGGUGGUUUAAGUCCGUUGUGAAAGCCCUGGGCUCAACCUGGGAAUUGCAGUGGAUACUGGGUCACUAGAGUGUGGUAGAGGAUAGUGGAAUUUCCGGUGUAGCAGUGAAAUGCGUAGAGAUCGGAAGGAACAUCUGUGGCGAAGGCGACUAUCUGGGCCAACACUGACACUGAGGCACGAAAGCGUGGGGAGCAAACAGGAUUAGAUACCCCGGUAGUCCCUGUCUCUUAUAU
This 301-nucleotide ribosomal RNA is filed under the name uncultured bacterium. RNAcentral describes it as "partial 16S ribosomal RNA". It matches the Rfam family "Bacterial small subunit ribosomal RNA", at positions 509 to 809 of the family's 1533-position model. The record is from RNAcentral.